This is a non-coding RNA of Sodiomyces alkalinus F11, 109 nucleotides long. Lineage: Eukaryota; Fungi; Ascomycota; Sordariomycetes; Glomerellales; Plectosphaerellaceae. The record is from the annotation of a RefSeq genome assembly.
GCCCGGCUAGCUCAAUCGGUAGAGCGUGAGACUCUUACAAGUUACUCCCCCUUUGAGGGGAACAGAGAUCACCAUCUCAAGGUUGUGGGUUCGACCCCCACGUUGGGCU